GAUGAACGCUGGCGGCGUGCCUAAUACAUGCAAGUCGAGCGAACAGACGAGGAGCUUGCUCCUCUGACGUUAGCGGCGGACGGGUGAGUAACACGUGGAUAACCUACCUAUAAGACUGGGAUAACUACGGGAAACCGGAGCUAAUACCGGAUAAUAUAUUGAACCGCUUGGUUCAAUAGUGAAAGACGGCUUUGCUGUCACUUAUAGAUGGAUCCGCGCCGCAUUAGCUAGUUGGUAAGGUAACGGCUUACCAAGGCAACGAUUCGUAGCCGACCUGAGAGAGUGAUCAGCCACACUGGAACUGAGACACGGUCCAGACUCCUACGGGAGGCAGCAGUAGGGAAUCUUCGGCAAUGGGCGAAAGCUUGACGGAGCAACGCCGCGUGAGUGAUGAAGGUCUUCGGAUCGUAAAACUCUGUUAUUAGGGAAGAACAACUGUGUAAGUAACUAUGCACGUCUUGACGGUACCUAAUAAGAAAGCCACGGCUAACUACGUG
RNAcentral lists this ribosomal RNA (497 nucleotides) under uncultured bacterium. RNAcentral describes it as "partial 16S ribosomal RNA". It matches the Rfam family "Bacterial small subunit ribosomal RNA", at positions 28 to 507 of the family's 1533-position model. The record is from RNAcentral.